Long non-coding RNA from Selaginella moellendorffii, 641 nucleotides. RefSeq lists it as uncharacterized. The record is from RefSeq and is a predicted model, not a curated record. Lineage: Eukaryota; Viridiplantae; Streptophyta; Lycopodiopsida; Selaginellales; Selaginellaceae. The transcript has 4 exons.
UUCUGACAAAGACGAGCUCCAAAUUCCCGCUGCUGCUAGUGUCGCCGAGGUCAAGACGACGAUCUUACGCUCCGUGUCUGACACAAAUCGUGGCAAGCAUCGUAUAAGCAUCCUGAGAUGUUUUGCUCGUGGAACUUGCACUCCCGACUUUGAUUCGCGAUCCUCGAGCUUGAUUAAUCUGGGAAGGAAAAGAAAGAAGAAAGCAAAACGGUAAACCGAUUCUUGACAAGGCCGACCAGUUCCUCCGUAUUCCAUUAUUUUCUUCUUCGUCUUUCGAUCCUUUGACGUUGGUGCUACUUCCGGGCCUCGGAUUCACUGGCUGCUGCUGGACAUCCAUUAAAUCCAAGUCCCAAGCUCCGUACUGGGGGUUUUCCAUCCGGACUUGCUCUGGAGGAACAACGUUAGCAGUGCUAUGGGAGCUUUGGUGGGCUUUGUGACGAGGGAAACUCUUUGCUGCGAAAGAAGAAUUACUGAUGCAAAUCUUUGAGGUUGCUCGCAGCUCUUUGGAAAAGUUUUACAGGCUUAGUCGACUGUUUGGUGGGGCUGGUCACCAUCUACCUGGACGAGUAGACAAACCGCCUGUAAUCCUGUCCAGGAUAUUGGCUUGGUUCCAAUCAAACAUUACACUGAAGUUACCUGUC